UACGUAGGGGGCGAGCGUUGUCCGGAUUUAUUGGGCGUAAAGAGCUCGUAGGCGGCCAACUAAGUCGGAUGUGAAAUCCCCAGGCUCAACUUGGGAACUGCAUCCGAUACUGGAUGGCUUGAAUUCGGGAGAGGGAUGCAGAAUUCCAGGUGUAGCGGUGAAAUGCGUAGAUAUCUGGAGGAAUACCGGUGGCGAAGGCGGCAUCCUGGACCGACAUUGACGCUGAGGAGCGAAAGCUAGGGGAGCAAACGGG
Molecule: ribosomal RNA, 253 nt
Filed under: uncultured bacterium
Lineage: Bacteria
Description: partial 16S ribosomal RNA
Rfam family: Bacterial small subunit ribosomal RNA
Source: RNAcentral